AUACGUAGGGUGCGAGCGUUAAUCGGAAUUACUGGGCGUAAAGCGUGCGCAGGCGGAUUAUUAAGCAAGACGUGAAAGCCCCGGGCUUAACCUGGGAAUGGCGCUUUGAACUGGUAGUCUAGAGUGCGUCAGAGGGGGGUGGAAUUCCACGUGUAGCAGUGAAAUGCGUAGAGAUGUGGAGGAACACCGAUGGCGAAGGCAGCCCCCUGGGAUGACACUGACGCUCAUGUACGAAAGCGUGGGUAGC
This 247-nucleotide ribosomal RNA is filed under the name uncultured bacterium. RNAcentral's name for it is "partial 16S ribosomal RNA". It matches the Rfam family "Bacterial small subunit ribosomal RNA", at positions 523 to 769 of the family's 1533-position model. The record is from RNAcentral.